This 2187-nucleotide long non-coding RNA is filed under the name Mus musculus (house mouse). Lineage: Eukaryota; Metazoa; Chordata; Mammalia; Rodentia; Muridae. The record is from RNAcentral.
CUCAUUUUUCCUUGUUCGGGGUUUGAGGUGCCACCUUACAAAAGGAUGGGUGUACGCUCUCUUUUCAGAGUAAGUAGUGUUAAUGGUUUUACCAGAUUUUUUUGGUUGUUGAGUAUAAGUUGUGUGUGUGCUACGGGGAUGAUAUGAAAACUGAACUCUCUCUUUCUGAUGGUUUAGUGGAGAAAACAAAAAUUCUCUGAGUAGCACAAUCUGUGGCAGGUAUUUGGAUUGUUUGGCAUAAAGUCUUUUAUUGAAGUUUGGGGUUUUUUUUUUCUGUUCUAGAUGUGGUUCAUCUCAAAGCCCUUUACACUUUGGAGCCAGGCCUGUUCAAUUUUACAAAUAACACGUUUUGCUUGUAGUCAGGUAGGUAUUGAUGGUUGGUGCUUCCUUAGGGAACAUAUUUAGAUGGCCACUUAAUGAUGAACAAUGUAAAUGACAAGCAUAUGGCUGAGUUGCAAUGAUGUCAUCUUACUACUGAAAUGGGCUGAAGAAAGAAGGUGCUGAGGUGGCUGUGAUUACAUUUAAAAAUGACAUUGUUUCUCUGUUUCCAGGGUGCUGUGACAACAUGAAGAGUUCGAGCUACCUCCCAGGAUGAGUGCAGGUAAUUGUCCAAGUAGAGCUUAGGGUUUCCCUAGGGAAAAUAGUCAAGACAGACAUUGAAGCAGCACAACACUUUUUUGCUGCUUACUAUUUGUAUUUCUAGAGGACACAUUAUGUUAAGGCCUUUGUUCUCUUAAAAACUCAACUGUCAGAUGAUUUGAAAUGAUGACACUGAACACUCCGUGAAGGUGUGAAUUUAUAGCAUGUUAGAGUUCUGAUGGCAGUUAGUGCUGACAGACAGAUUGUAAUUCUGUCCUGAUGGUUGAAAAUAACUACUUGUUACUCUUCCACAGGUUUUCCUGGUGACAAAUCUCAGGCAUUCAAAGGUUAGUUAGAUUAUUUUGGAUGGGGUUUGUUCACUAGGUUUGCUGUUUCUAUGAUGAAUCAAACUAGCUCACUAUGACUGCUAAUGAAAACACAGGAACACCUGAGAAACCAAAGGGUAGUGUGGGGGCAAGGGCCUUAUAUCCAGCCUUUUCAAGGUUUGUUAUUUUUCUCCAGGUUCUGUUAGCAGUGCCAUACUUGUGGGUUUACAGGUGAGUGAUUCCAGUGUGUGGUGUGGUGUAUGUGCAUAGCAUUGGACUGGGGUGGGGGGACCUAACUGAGAACGUACUUUGUGUAUAUAUGAUGACUUUCAUAGAAUCUCGUUCGGCUGAUGAUUGCUGUUGAGACUUGGAAAUCUGAUUUUUCUCAGAAUGAUGGGUUAGAUAGGAACAAGCUGUUGCAGGAUUUUUAACAUUGCUGAUGACUGUCUUGUUUUUCAGAGAUGGUGUGUCUGGCUGAGAACAAAGGAGCCGUACCAGGUAUAUGUCUUAGUAAUGCUUUUUGUAGUAUAAGGUUGAAUAUAUAAUACUUAGACCUAGUGAAUUCCUGCUCACCCUGAUGAACUGAAUACCGCCCCAGUCUGAUAGCUGUGGAGAAAGGUAUUUUCUGAGUUGUGAGCUCAUUUUGGAUCAAGUAGGAAAUUUUUUAUGCUAAUACUAGCAUAGUAUUAAUACUAGCAUAAGCUUUUGUAAAAGAAGCUUAAGCAUUAAUGGCCCAAAUUGUUUGCUAUUUUGUAGGAAAGUUGAAGCAUAUCUUCAUUUUCAAGUCCAGGCUAAAAUAAGGUGAGAAAACUUAGAUGAAAAGUAUGCUGAACUAUAAUUUCCCCAUGAAGAAAUGUUCACACGUCCUACUUCCUGUCCUAGCUCCAGAGCCUGAAAAGGUGAACCCACUGGGGCUGGCUGGGGGAAAAGAGGAAACUUUGUUCCAGAAGGAACUGUCUGAGGGAUCAUUUUUGUGCGUAGAAAGGGAAGAAUUCUCACUUGAUUAAAGAGGAAUCAAAAGGUGAUUUACUUGUUUUACAGGUCUGAGGAAAAGAAUGAGCUGCGUGUGAAGGAUAGGAACAGAAAUCAUGAAAGAUCUGUUUGUCCAGGCCAGUGUUUCACCAUAAGAGAUCACUUUAAAAUAAAUGAUGAAAUAAUUCUUUGCAAUUGCAAAUUUACCUUCCUUGCUUACCACAUUGUUAACUGUAGGAGCUGAUACCUGGUUCUUCCACUGUUAACUUGUACUCUGUGUUUGUUCUAGCAAUAAAUGCUCUUUAUGCUA